Molecule: long non-coding RNA, 343 nt
Organism: Myotis daubentonii (Daubenton's bat)
Lineage: Eukaryota; Metazoa; Chordata; Mammalia; Chiroptera; Vespertilionidae
Exons: 3
Source: RefSeq, a predicted model, not a curated record
GUCAAGGGCACAGGCCUGGGUUGGGGACUCGAUCCCAGUGGGGGGCGUGCAGGAGGCGGCUGAUCCAUGAUUCUCUCUCAUCAUGGAUGUUUCUCUCUCUCCCUCUCCCUUCCUCUCUGAAAUCAAUAAAAUAAUAUUUUUUAAAAAUUGAAUAAACCCACCCUAACCGGUUUGGCUCAGUGGAUAGAGCGUCGGCCUGCGGACUCAAGGGUCCCAGGUUCGAUUCCGGGCAAGGGCAUGUACCUUGGUUGCGGGCACAUCCCCAGUGGGGGGUGGAGUGUGCAGGAGGCAGCUGAUCGAUGUUUCUAACUCUCUAUCCCUCUCCCUUCCUCUCUGUAAAAAA